GCCAUGCAUGUCUAAGUAUAAACGAUUUAAUCGUGAAACCGCGAAUGGCUCAUUAUAACAGCUAUAAUUUACUUGAUCUUGACACAAUCCUACUUGGAUAACUGUGGUAAUUCUAGAGCUAAUACAUGCAUUAAAGCUCUGACCUCACGGGAAGAGUGCAUUUAUUAGAACAAAACCAAGCGGCUUCGGCUGUUUCUGGUUGACUCAUAGUAACUGAGCUGAUCGCAUGGUCUUGCACCGGCGACGUGUCUUUCAAGUAUCUGCCGUAUCAACUUUCGAUGGUAGUGUAUCUGACUACCAUGGUGAUCACGCGUAACGGAGAAUAAGGGUUCGGCUCCGGAGAGUUCGCCUGAGAAAUCGCGAACACAUCUAAGGAAGGCAGCAGGCGCGAAAAUUACCCACUCUCAGCACGAGGAGGUAGUGACGAAAAAUAACGAGACCGUUCUCUUAUGAGGCCGGUCAUCGGAAUGGGUACAAUUUAAACCCUUUAACGAG
Molecule: ribosomal RNA, 495 nt
Filed under: Acrobeloides sp. Sourhope farm
Lineage: Eukaryota; Metazoa; Nematoda; Chromadorea; Rhabditida; Cephalobidae
Description: SSU rRNA
Rfam family: Eukaryotic small subunit ribosomal RNA
Source: RNAcentral